RNAcentral lists this small nuclear RNA (320 nucleotides) under Microcebus murinus (gray mouse lemur). RNAcentral's name for it is "7SK RNA (ENSMICG00000022772.3)". It matches the Rfam family "7SK RNA". Rfam says of the family: 7SK was discovered as an abundant small nuclear RNA in the mid-70s but a possible function has only recently been suggested. Lineage: Eukaryota; Metazoa; Chordata; Mammalia; Primates; Cheirogaleidae. The record is from Rfam by way of RNAcentral.
GGAUGUGAGGACGAUCUGGCUGCGACAUCUGUCACCCCAUUGAUUGCCAGGGUUGAUUCGGCUGAUCUGGCUGGCUAGGCUGGUGUCCCCUUCCUCCCUCACCGUUCCAUGUGCGUCCCUCCCGAAGCUGCGCGUUUGGUUGAAGAGGAUGACCUUCCCCGCUAGAGGAGGACCGGUCUUCGGUCAAGGGUAUACGAGUAGCUGUGCUCCCCUGCUAGAACCUCCAAACAAGCUCUCAAAAGCUAGGCCUCUUGUGCCAGUCAGCUAAGUUGUGAAUGCAAAGGAAAGGUUCCUGAAGGAAAUUGAAAGUGCUACUCCAG